GACGAACGCUGGCGGCGUGCUUAACACAUGCAAGUCGAACGGAAAGGCCUGUUUCGUGGUGCUCUCGCGUUGACAGCGGGCGGGUAACUCGCGCGUAACUUGCCUUUCUCUAUGAGAUGGCUACAGUAAAGAGACGCUAACACCUGCUGGGUGCUCUUUUGGCCGGGUGGGGUAAGGAAUGUUUUGGCGGUUUGGGGUGACCUCGCGACUUAUCAGCUUGUUGGUGGCGGGAUGGCUUACCAAGGGCUUGCCGGGUAGCCGGACUGUGAGGGUGACCGGCCACAUUGGGACUGAGAGACGGCCCAGACUCCUACGGGUGGCAGAAGUGGGGAAUAUUGCACAAUGGGUGGAAGCCUGAUGCAGCAACGCCGCGUGCGGGAUGACGGCCUUCGGGUUGUAAACCGCUUUCGCUAGUGACGAAGCUUUUUGUGACGGUAGCGGGUAAAGAAGCACCGGCUAACUACGUG
Molecule: ribosomal RNA, 467 nt
Filed under: uncultured bacterium
Lineage: Bacteria
Description: partial 16S ribosomal RNA
Rfam family: Bacterial small subunit ribosomal RNA
Source: RNAcentral